GGGUCAGUAAAGUGAUAAAGUAGACACCCCGGUCUGUAAAACCGGUGCUUUCGAGCUCGAGUGGGUGCGAUUCCCUCCUGGCCCA
This 85-nucleotide transfer RNA is filed under the name Caudoviricetes sp. RNAcentral describes it as "tRNA-Tyr". It matches the Rfam family "tRNA". From Rfam's summary of the family: Transfer RNA (tRNA) molecules are approximately 80 nucleotides in length. Their secondary structure includes four short double-helical elements and three loops (D, anti-codon, and T loops). Further hydrogen bonds mediate the characteristic L-shaped molecular structure. tRNAs have two regions of fundamental functional importance: the anti-codon, which is responsible for specific mRNA codon recognition, and the 3' end, to which the tRNAs corresponding amino acid is attached (by aminoacyl-tRNA synthetases). tRNAs cope with the degeneracy of the genetic code in two manners: having more than one tRNA (with a specific anti-codon) for a particular amino acid; and 'wobble' base-pairing, i.e. permitting non-standard base-pairing at the 3rd anti-codon position. The record is from RNAcentral. Lineage: Duplodnaviria; Heunggongvirae; Uroviricota; Caudoviricetes.